UAAUUAAAAAAAGUGUGUUAAAGUCUUCUACGCAGAAGUGGGAGAGCCACUGACACAAACAAUCAAAUUGGCAAGAAAUAUAAAACAUGUACGAAACUACUGUAGGUUAUUUUGAUGGAUGGUAUCGUUACUUCUUGUUCUUCAUCUGGGUUUUGAAUGUUGCUGGGAUUUGGACUUUAGCAUACCUGAAGAUUUCCUUGAUCAGAAGAAUCAGAAAUGUCUGUCCUAUCUCAGGAUGCGCCUGUCCCAAGCUUCAUUUUCCAGAACCCACACCCAUUUACGAUAGCAUCCUACCAACACUGAUGGAAGCCUCGUCCUAGCAUUACUCUACUCAUAAUUUAAAGCCUUAUGCGUAUUGGCCUGCUUCUCUUGUUUGACAUAUUUUCUUUUCUCUUAAUAAAGCCCUGCAUUUGCAUCUGAACAUGCACAGAAUUAUUGAAAGUCUCAAAAUAUUAGAUUGAUGGUUAUUCUGUAAAUAUAAUGACUAUGGAAUAAGAAGUUGGAAAACUAUGAAAAAAACAGUGCUAAGUAUAUAGCAUGAGUCUUUACCACCUCUUGAUGGAAUGAAAGAAGAUUUUGCCCAGUUUUUAUACCUUUGUACUAUUUGACAAUUGGCUACUCUUGUACUCUUGUUCUCACCAUGAUGUCCACCAACAGCUAGAGAAGGGUUGAGGCACAAGGUUUCUUCCUAAAGUUCUUAAGGAUUUGGACUUUCUGUAAAGACAUUUUGCGAGGACUGUUUGUAAAACACUACAGUGAAACCUCGGAUUACAAGUAACUCGGUUUACAAGUGUUCCACAAGACGAGCAAACAUUUUUAAUAAAUGUUGACUUGGAAAACGAGCAUUGUCUUGGUUUACGAGCACCGAGUAUCAUGUAUCACGCAAGCGCUUCUUGAUUUGAUGCCGAGCAUCAUGUGAUCACAACUGAGCCAAGGUUUUUUUUUCUCUCUUGCGCAGAUAAUCAGGUAAUCAUCUCCGCUGCUGGGUCUUAGUGCUCGUCUUUUACUGGUAUAAUCAACAUCCAUGUGUGUUUCUUUCUCUUGCGCUGCAGAGUGUGUGUGUUAUGUGUGUGCGCACACGUAAUUUGACACCGUGCCGGUUCACUUUCUCUCUCUUUCUCUCUCUCUCUCUCGCCCAGCACAAAUUAUGCACGCGCACACAUAACACACACUCAGCAGCGCAUAAGAGAGAAAAACACACACACAGCGCCUGUGCGCAUAAAUGGAAACACUUAUCUGUCGAGAUUUAUUUUUACUUUUUUUUAAGGUAACGUGCAGGUUAAAGUGUUUUAUUUUUUCUUUAUAUUUUGUGUUAAUUAUUUUUAUGUAUUUAUUUUUUGGGGGCUGUGGAACGAAUUAUUUUUUAUGGGAAAAUGUGCUUUAAUUUACGAGUGCUUUGGAAUCCGAGUCUGCUUCCCGGAAAGAAUUAUGCUCGUAAUCCGAGGUUCCACUGUAUAUACUAAAUGUCUAGCAGAGUAAUUGGGCAAGGUACAAUAAUAAGAGAAUUAUUGCAUGAAUACAUUGUGAGAAAACAAUCUGCUCUGUGUCAAGACUGUGAACGAAUAUUUCACGCCACCAGACCAGGCUGGUUUGAGCUAGCUAGACAGGAAGGCUAUGGAAACUCAAAAAAGUACUUUUAAUAAUAUAUGAAUUGAUAUCAUUUCAUCCUUCCCAAAAGUACAUAAGUCAACUUAGUGAAUUAGUGUAAAUAUAUACUUAAGGAGCAUCUGCCAAAUAUCUCUAUAUAAAUGUAAUAAAAAAUAGGCAGUGUGAGAUACCUCAAAGAUAAAUGAGGAAAAUGUCUUAAGUAUUAACUCAAUUAACUUUAAAAGGUAUACAUCUCAUUAUAUUGUUAUGUUAAAUUGCUCUCUGCUGAACACUUCCUGUAUUCUCAGAAAGAUGAAUGUAAAGCUCCCAUCCAUCCAUCUAGGAAACUCUUUAGUCCAACUAGGAACUAUGGAGGCCAAUGUAUUUUUUCCCAUUUUUACGACUGUGGUCAGGUAAGGGAAGAUGCGAUGGGAUGGCAAAGCUUAUACUUUACAAUAUGUAAAUCAAGUGUUUUG
This is a long non-coding RNA of Clarias gariepinus (North African catfish), 2063 nucleotides long. RefSeq lists it as uncharacterized. The transcript is spliced from 3 exons. Lineage: Eukaryota; Metazoa; Chordata; Actinopteri; Siluriformes; Clariidae. The record is from RefSeq and is a predicted model, not a curated record.